GACGGAGGAUGCAAGCGUUAUCCGGAAUUAUUGGGCGUAAAGCGUCCGCAGGUGGCUGUUCAAGUCUGCUGUCAAAGCGCAGAGCUUAACUCUGUACAGGCGGUGGAAACUGAAGAGCUAGAGUAUGGUAGGGGUAGAGGGAAUUCCCGGUGUAGCGGUGAAAUGCGUAGAUAUCCGGAAGAACACCGGUGGCGAAGGCGGCCUGCUGGGCAGUAGCUGACACUGAGGCGCGACAGCGUGGGGAGCAAACAGG
This 253-nucleotide ribosomal RNA is filed under the name uncultured bacterium. Its description in RNAcentral is "partial 16S ribosomal RNA". It matches the Rfam family "Bacterial small subunit ribosomal RNA", at positions 524 to 776 of the family's 1533-position model. The record is from RNAcentral.